GAACGAGACCUUCGGGUCUAGUGGCGCACGGGUGCGUAACGCGUGGGAAUCUGCCCUUGGGUUCGGAAUAACAGUGAGAAAUUACUGCUAAUACCGGAUGAUGACGUAAGUCCAAAGAUUUAUCGCCCAAGGAUGAGCCCGCGUAAGAUUAGCUAGUUGGUGGGGUAAAGGCCUACCAAGGCGACGAUCUUUAGCUGGUCUGAGAGGAUGAUCAGCCACACUGGGACUGAGACACGGCCCAGACUCCUACGGGAGGCAGCAGUGGGGAAUAUUGGACAAUGGGCGAAAGCCUGAUCCAGCAAUGCCGCGUGAGUGAUGAAGGCCUUAGGGUUGUAAAGCUCCUUUACCAGGGAUGAUAAUGACAGUACCUGGAGAAUAAGCUCCGGCUAACUCCGUGCCAGCAGCCGCGGUAAUACGGAGGGAGCUAGCGUUGUUCGGAAUUACUGGGCGUAAAGCGUGCGUAGGCGGUGACUCAAGUCAGAGGUGAAAGCCUGGAGCUCAACUCCAGAACUGCCUUUGAAACUAGGUCGCUAGAAUCUGGGAGAGGUGAGUGGAAUUCCGAGUGUAGAGGUGAAAUUCGUAGAUAUUCGGAAGAACACCAGUGGCGAAGGCGGCUCACUGGACCAGAAUUGACGCUGAGGCACGAAAGCGUGGGGAGCAAACA
This 664-nucleotide ribosomal RNA is filed under the name uncultured Alphaproteobacteria bacterium. RNAcentral's name for it is "bacterial SSU rRNA". It matches the Rfam family "Bacterial small subunit ribosomal RNA", at positions 64 to 774 of the family's 1533-position model. Lineage: Bacteria; Pseudomonadati; Pseudomonadota; Alphaproteobacteria. The record is from RNAcentral.